RNAcentral lists this ribosomal RNA (1413 nucleotides) under Staphylococcus aureus. RNAcentral's name for it is "bacterial SSU rRNA". It matches the Rfam family "Bacterial small subunit ribosomal RNA". The record is from RNAcentral. Lineage: Bacteria; Bacillati; Bacillota; Bacilli; Caryophanales; Staphylococcaceae.
AGACUGGGAUAACUUCGGGAAACCGGAGCUAAUACCGGAUAAUAUUUUGAACCGCAUGGUUCAAAAGUGAAAGACGGUCUUGCUGUCACUUAUAGAUGGAUCCGCGCUGCAUUAGCUAGUUGGUAAGGUAACGGCUUACCAAGGCAACGAUGCAUAGCCGACCUGAGAGGGUGAUCGGCCACACUGGAACUGAGACACGGUCCAGACUCCUACGGGAGGCAGCAGUAGGGAAUCUUCCGCAAUGGGCGAAAGCCUGACGGAGCAACGCCGCGUGAGUGAUGAAGGUCUUCGGAUCGUAAAACUCUGUUAUUAGGGAAGAACAUAUGUGUAAGUAACUGUGCACAUCUUGACGGUACCUAAUCAGAAAGCCACGGCUAACUACGUGCCAGCAGCCGCGGUAAUACGUAGGUGGCAAGCGUUAUCCGGAAUUAUUGGGCGUAAAGCGCGCGUAGGCGGUUUUUUAAGUCUGAUGUGAAAGCCCACGGCUCAACCGUGGAGGGUCAUUGGAAACUGGAAAACUUGAGUGCAGAAGAGGAAAGUGGAAUUCCAUGUGUAGCGGUGAAAUGCGCAGAGAUAUGGAGGAACACCAGUGGCGAAGGCGACUUUCUGGUCUGUAACUGACGCUGAUGUGCGAAAGCGUGGGGAUCAAACAGGAUUAGAUACCCUGGUAGUCCACGCCGUAAACGAUGAGUGCUAAGUGUUAGGGGGUUUCCGCCCCUUAGUGCUGCAGCUAACGCAUUAAGCACUCCGCCUGGGGAGUACGACCGCAAGGUUGAAACUCAAAGGAAUUGACGGGGACCCGCACAAGCGGUGGAGCAUGUGGUUUAAUUCGAAGCAACGCGAAGAACCUUACCAAAUCUUGACAUCCUUUGACAACUCUAGAGAUAGAGCCUUCCCCUUCGGGGGACAAAGUGACAGGUGGUGCAUGGUUGUCGUCAGCUCGUGUCGUGAGAUGUUGGGUUAAGUCCCGCAACGAGCGCAACCCUUAAGCUUAGUUGCCAUCAUUAAGUUGGGCACUCUAAGUUGACUGCCGGUGACAAACCGGAGGAAGGUGGGGAUGACGUCAAAUCAUCAUGCCCCUUAUGAUUUGGGCUACACACGUGCUACAAUGGACAAUACAAAGGGCAGCGAAACCGCGAGGUCAAGCAAAUCCCAUAAAGUUGUUCUCAGUUCGGAUUGUAGUCUGCAACUCGACUACAUGAAGCUGGAAUCGCUAGUAAUCGUAGAUCAGCAUGCUACGGUGAAUACGUUCCCGGGUCUUGUACACACCGCCCGUCACACCACGAGAGUUUGUAACACCCGAAGCCGGUGGAGUAACCUUUUAGGAGCUAGCCGUCGAAGGUGGGACAAAUGAUUGGGGUGAAGUCGUAACAAGGUAGCCGUAUCGGAAGGUGCGGCUGGAUCACCUCCUUU